CUGGUAUACUUUCCUGGUGUACAUUUGUGGAGUAACACAGAAUUUGGGGCUUUCUCCAAGUCAACUUUAUUACUUGUUUUCCAACAGCUUCAACGAUAACUGAGCUUGGAGAGCCCUAGGAGAGCCCUCAGCCAGCAGUAGCAGACCUUGGAUCAGGCCCAUGAGAAUCCAGUGCCGUGGAAAAUGAAUCACCACUGUUUCUCCAGCAAGCUUCUUAACCUCCAAAUUCAGAAGUACAGCAGAGCUGAUGACUGCACUGAGUAUUUGUUAAAGGCCAGCAGAAAUGAUCCCUGAGGAACGUUGUCUUCACAUGAAAUAUGAAACAUCCAUUUUGUUAAGGUUAGAAGAUGUAACAGAUAAGCAUAAUUAAAGAAACAGAAGACUUACAUGUUUUGACAAGGAGUGGCAGAAGUACUGAACCCUUCUUCUCCAACAGCAAUGGGAGGCCAAAAGAGAUCUAAGCUGUGUGUGAGAAGGUCUGGUGCUGGAGGCAAGGUAACAUAUAGCAAAGACCUUCCAGGCUUCAGUCAACUGAGAACAACCCAAAAAAUUAUGCUGUAUAUCAGCGGCAACAGAUCUGCUCUCCAGCUUUCAGGUUAGAAUAAUUCUACCAUGUUUUCACAAAUCCAGCCCCUGAAGAAGAUACAGUUACUGGAUGAUCAUGGAAUCAUUGAAUCAUAGAAUAGGUUGGAUUAGAACAGACCUCAAGGAUCAUCACAUUCCAACCUCCCUGCCACAGGCAAAGUUGCCAACAGCUAGAUCAAGUUCUAGAUCAAGUUGCCCAGGGUCCCAUACAACCUGGCCUUGAAAGCAUCCCUAGGCAGCCUGUUCC
This 832-nucleotide long non-coding RNA is filed under the name Coturnix japonica (Japanese quail). RNAcentral's name for it is "lncRNA (ENSCJPG00005017628.1)". Lineage: Eukaryota; Metazoa; Chordata; Aves; Galliformes; Phasianidae. The record is from RNAcentral.